UAUUGAUAAGAAGACAUCUUUUUGACUUAGAUUGAUUCUGUAUAGUAAAAGUCUCAAUAUAUUUGUUUCCAAACAACAAAUGAACAAAAUACUGGAAAUCCAAAAGAAACAUUCUAUUUAGGAGAAUAAUUUCGUAGACAUCCUCAGUACCUCUGCCAAUGGAGAAUCCGCCAUCUUCGGUGGUGUAAUGGUGGCCGCACCACUGAUACUGACCGCCGUCUUCCAAUUUUGAGGAUUCGUUGAGAUCGUUGUCGUCUACAAAGAAGAUGUCGCACAGUCAAUUGCAGGAUCUAGAGCAAACAUGUGGUGCUGUAUAGAAGUGGUGCUUUAUAAACAAGUGGUGCUGUAUAAACGAUAAGCAUACUAAGUUUUGAAUCACUUCAAAUAAAACCAACGAAAUAAUACCGAGCAAUCUUUGUAGUCAAUUGCAAGAUCUAGAGCAAACAAGUGGUGCUGUAUAGAAGUAAACAAACUAGACUUCUAACAUUGAUAAUUUGGCAUGCAUUGCGUCUCUGCAUUUGCAGUAAAAUGUCCUAUGUUAAAUCAAGUUAUUUUUCUGCUAAGAUAGUAGAGCAGUAAGCAGGGAUAUGUGUUUCUAGCUUUUGACUCUGCCAAUGAAUGGUAGUAGUUCAAAGAUGUUAGUAUUUUCCAAUUAAACAAAAGAACUUGGGAUGGACCUAAUUGCUUAUAUUUAUUUCUUUUUUUUUUGGGGAGGGAGGAAAUGAUUUUCUAUACUCAUUUACAAUUUGAAUAGAAGAAGAUGACCCGAUAAAGAUUUCCUAUUUUUUAUUUCUGGGUCUGCUAUGCUAUUUUUACUAAUUUCCUAUAAAAAUAAUAUUUAUAAUGAACUAAAAAACCAAAUCUCCCGAGUGGAAACAUCAUUUGAAUUGCAAUCUCAUCCAUAAUCUCUCUGACGAUCUAACAGCUUGUUUGGAUGGUUGUUACUUAUUGUAUUGUAUCAUAUUGUUACUUUAAAUACGAUGUUUAUUUUGAUUGUUACUUAAAUUUUAUUUAUUGUAUCGUUAAAUCUGUCAUUACGUAAUGACGAAAAGUGCCACUUUAUGUAACGACCGAUUUGGUGUGGUCGCAUCAUUACUUUGUCUUUUUAUCUCAUCUCACCCUUCAUUAUUAUUAAAUAAUUUUAUUUUAUCCUUUACUCCACCUUUUAGUAUAAUAAUUCUACCUCGUAUCAUAAUUUUUCUUUAUAAUAUUGCAAGUUUAUUCUUCAUAUUGCUGAUGCGUGAUAUCAUGAAACGAUGGCAAAUGAUAUAAUCUAUCCAAACAUAAUAUUCAUCAAACGAUACAAUACAGUAUCAAUGUGUUU
Long non-coding RNA from Nicotiana attenuata, 1324 nucleotides. RefSeq lists it as uncharacterized. The transcript is spliced from 3 exons. NCBI's taxonomy places the organism in Eukaryota, Viridiplantae, Streptophyta, Magnoliopsida, Solanales, Solanaceae. The record is from RefSeq and is a predicted model, not a curated record.